Molecule: unclassified non-coding RNA, 406 nt
Filed under: soil metagenome
Description: partial contains 5.8S ribosomal RNA, internal transcribed spacer 2, and large subunit ribosomal RNA
Rfam family: 5.8S ribosomal RNA (bases 1-121)
Source: RNAcentral
GAUGAAGAACGCAGCGAAAUGCGAUAAGUAAUGUGAAUUGCAGAAUUCAGUGAAUCAUCGAAUCUUUGAACGCACCUUGCGCCCUUUGGCCAUUCCGAAGGGCAUGCCUGUUUGAGUAUCAUGAACACCUCAACUCUUCAUGGUUUUCCAUGAUGAGCUUGGACUUUGGGGGUCUUGCUGGCCUGUGGGUCGGCUCCUCUCAAAUGAAUCAGCUUGCCGGUUUUUGGUGGGCAUCACGGGUGUGAUAACUAUCUACGCUUGUGGUUUUCCACCAGGGUAACCUUCAGCAGUGGAGGUUCACUGGAGCUUACAAAUGUCUCUCCUCUGUGAGGACAGCCCUUUGAAUGUUUGAUCUCAAAUCAGGUAGGACUACCCGCUGAACUUAAGCAUAUCAAUAAGCGGAGGA